GCCCAAUUAUCGCACGUGCCUGUGGUUGCGUGCCGACCGGUGGGGCUCCGGACAAGAGGCCGGGGCGACGCCCAUGUGGAUCCCGAAAGGGCCACGAAGGAGUCCAGGAGUGAUCCUGGAAAGGUCGGCAGCCGGAAAGCGAACCGGUGAACUCCGUCUCCGCGGAGGACGCGACUUGAAGCAACGACGUAGCGGGCUUUU
RNAcentral lists this small RNA (201 nucleotides) under Kaistia soli DSM 19436. Its description in RNAcentral is "Alphaproteobacterial sRNA ar45". It matches the Rfam family "Alphaproteobacterial sRNA ar45". The record is from Rfam by way of RNAcentral. Lineage: Bacteria; Pseudomonadati; Pseudomonadota; Alphaproteobacteria; Hyphomicrobiales; Kaistiaceae.